AGCUUACAUACUAUAGUCCAAAGAGUUUUCUCUAAAAACUCCAUGUUGACUCAAGCAUGGAUAACAGGUCAGCCGGUCAGCCGCAUAUCCCAGAGUUCCAUGCUCUGAGGCGACCCUGAACCACUGUACUCUGAAGACAGUGGCGGUUGGUGCACCUGGCCCCUGGAGGAGGUAGGCUGGUAGAGGGUUCAGUGAGUUCAGCCAGGGCCCCAGGCUCAAAGCCAGCAGCCUUUAAACGAUGCCAUCUCCUACAUUCAACUGAGAUCCCACUGAGACUAUUUUCAAACCGCUCACAGGCACUCCUAUCGCUGGAGGAACUCAGGCUCAGGAGGCUGACCUCUCAAUUGAUGAAGGCUGAGCGUGAACCAGAAACAGUUUGCUGACGUUAUGAUUCAAGCCUUUCGCGACUAUACAAAUUCUCAUCCACAAACCAUCCUGCAUUGCUGACAUCCUAUCUCCGUAAAUGAAUAAACCAACCCUUGCUGGUGGAGAAAGACUGGAUGAUAUCGGAGUAGCUGUGGCUCGUCUCUGUUCUAUGCACCCCUUGGAUCCGCGGGGUAUUCAGGUUCGGGGGCAGGGGGCGGCUACUUUUUUCCAAAUCACCAUUCAGGGGUCCGGGAGUUCCUCUGACAAUCUGGCCCGGUUGACUCAAGCAAGACCAAACCAAGUGGAAUACUGCAGAGAGGCGGCAUUGGGUUCACCUAAAUGGGAUCUCCGCAUUCCGCUCAGCAUGAACAAAUGGGCUCUGACUCACACUCCAUGCGGUGUUAAUGUAUUCCAAAAGACACCCUAAGGCUUGAGGAACGGGUAUUUAACACACAGCCAUCCGUACAGCAUAUAAUUAAGAGAAUUAGAUUUCCUGCUCAGUUGGAGAAUACAGGUUAGCGGUGACAUAGAAAGGCGUGGAAGGAGACCCCAUGUUUAAAGAACUUAGAGAGUGGAGGUAUCAGCGGUAGUACCACUAGGGGUGCAUCCCCAUAAUAUCUCCUUUCUCCUGAAGUGUACACUCGUUCACUACUCUCACAAAUCUAAAGACAUUGGAUUGUUAGAGGCAUGGGAUAGAGGUAACUUCCACCAUAGUGCUCCUGAGUGGCGCAGCGGUCUAAGACACUGCAUCUCAGUGCUAGAGGCAUCACUACAGACCCUGGUUUGACUCCAAGCUGUAUCACAACCAGCUGUGAUUGGGAGUCCCAUAGGGCGGCGCACAAUUGACCCAGUGUGGUCCAUGUUAGGGCUUGGUUGGGGUAGGCCAUAAUUGUAAAUAAGAAUUUGUUCUUAACUGACUUGCCUAGUUAAAAUUAAAAUAUAUAUAUAUCAUACCAGUAAUUUCCUUUCAAAUCAGUGAAGAAAAGUGAACAAGUGCACACUUUGGGAGGAAGGAGAGAUAAUUGGGACAUGGCCUCCCACUGGGCACAGACAUCAAUUCAACAUCUAUUCCACGUUGGUUCAGUGUAAUUUGAAAUGAUGUGGAAACAAUGUUGAUACAACAGGUGUGUGCCCAAGAGGAUAGAAAAACACUGAGACACACAGACUGGUGUACCAUUAAAUAUACAGGACUCUGGGGAGGCAGUGCGGUGAAAGAGCAUGCAAUAUUAAGUAAAAAUAUGAAGUAAAAAGACAAUAAACAUUCUGUAAUUGACAUCAAUUUGGACCCGGAUAAACGGAUGCUCUUAAAUGAUUUAGAAAAAUCUGACUUUCUUCAAAAAGCUGGAGAAUGAUUGCAUUUGAAACCCGGGAGGGAAAUGUGAUCGGUUGUAGUGUUAAUCUGAGCUGUAUGAUUUGGAAGUAAGAUCAUCUAUGGAUGCCGAUGUUGCCACAAAGCCACAAGUCCCGGGUUGUUAUGACACCCUGGAAUGAAAGCAAGGUGAAUGUUUUGUUUGUAUGAGUGCCGAUGUUGCCACAAAGCAACAAGGCCCGGGAUGCCACGAGGUCUCCGGUUGCCACGACACCCUGGGGUGAAUACAAGGUGAAUGUUUUGUUUGUAUGAUUUCUAAAGCUAUGAACAAAAAUCUGAAGAACAUGUGAGUCAUCUCAUAAAAAAUAUAUAUACAGUACCGUUCAAAAGUUUGGGGUCACUUAGAAAUGUCCUUGUCCGUUAAAAUAACAUCAAAUUGAUC
Molecule: non-coding RNA, 2117 nt
Organism: Salmo salar (Atlantic salmon)
Lineage: Eukaryota; Metazoa; Chordata; Actinopteri; Salmoniformes; Salmonidae
Source: RefSeq, a predicted model, not a curated record